This 71-nucleotide transfer RNA is filed under the name Marmota monax (woodchuck). Its description in RNAcentral is "tRNA.Val". The record is from RNAcentral. Lineage: Eukaryota; Metazoa; Chordata; Mammalia; Rodentia; Sciuridae.
GGGGUUGUGUCUCAGUGAUAGAGCACUCGCCUAACAUGUGUGAGGCACUGGGUUCGAUUCUCAGCACCACA